UACGUAGGGUGCGAGCGUUAAUCGGAAUUACUGGGCGUAAAGUGUGCGCAGGCGGCCGAGCAAGUCGAGUGUGAAAGCCCCGGGCUUAACUUGGGAAUUGCGCUCGAAACUACUUGGCUGGAGUGUGGCAGAGGAAGGUGGAAUUCCGGGUGUAGCGGUGAAAUGCGUAGAGAUCUGGAGGAACACCGAUGGCGAAGGCAGCCUUCUGGGCCAACACUGACGCUCAUGCACGAAAGCGUGGGGAGCAAACAGG
Molecule: ribosomal RNA, 253 nt
Filed under: uncultured bacterium
Lineage: Bacteria
Description: partial 16S ribosomal RNA
Rfam family: Bacterial small subunit ribosomal RNA
Source: RNAcentral